This 274-nucleotide unclassified non-coding RNA is filed under the name Hevea brasiliensis (rubber tree). Lineage: Eukaryota; Viridiplantae; Streptophyta; Magnoliopsida; Malpighiales; Euphorbiaceae. The record is from RNAcentral.
AAUUUUAUUUCAGAAACAAGCAAUUCAUACUACUUGUGGACAGUAAACAAUACAGAAGAUUGAUUCUUUUCUAGCACUUCCUUUGAACUCCUCAUAAAGAGACAUUUUCUCUCAAUAAAUUUUCUUAUGAGAGAGAAGAGGCAGAGAGAGUUUGGAUGUAAGCAGGGCAUGGACUUCGAGUGCCAAAAAUUGUGAUAUCUGUGUCAUAGCAGAUUUCUCUUUAUUUCUACAAAGACAACGGAUAGAGAUCAUAUCCUUUACCUUCGUGUGUGUG